RNAcentral lists this ribosomal RNA (523 nucleotides) under uncultured bacterium. RNAcentral describes it as "bacterial SSU rRNA". It matches the Rfam family "Bacterial small subunit ribosomal RNA", at positions 545 to 1069 of the family's 1533-position model. The record is from RNAcentral.
CCGGAUUUAUUGGGUGUAAAGGGUGCGUAGGCGGGAAAAUAAGUCAGUAUGUGAAAUCCCUCGGCUCAACUGAGGAACUGCAACUGAAACUAUUUUUCUUGAGUGUUGAAGGGGAAAGUGGAAUUCCUAGUGUAGCGGUGAAAUGCGUAGAGAUUAGGAGGAACACCAGUGGCGAAGGCGACUUUCUGGGCAACAACUGACGCUGAGGCACGAAAGUGUGGGGAGCAAACAGGAUUAGAUACCCUGGUAGUCCACACCGUAAACGAUGGAUACUAGGAGUUGGCAAAAAUAUCGUCGGUUCCGCAGUUAACGCAUUAAGUAUCCCACCUGGGGAGUACGACCGCAAGGUUAAAACUCAAAGGAAUUGACGGGGGCCCGCACAAGCAGUGGAGUAUGUGGUUUAAUUCGAAGCAACGCGAAGAACCUUACCAGGGCUUGACAUAUACAGGAAUAUAUAAGAGAUUAUAUAGCUCUACGGAGUCUGUAUACAGGUGGUGCAUGGUUGUCGUCAGCUCGUGUCGUG